RNAcentral lists this ribosomal RNA (253 nucleotides) under uncultured bacterium. RNAcentral's name for it is "partial 16S ribosomal RNA". It matches the Rfam family "Bacterial small subunit ribosomal RNA", at positions 524 to 776 of the family's 1533-position model. The record is from RNAcentral.
AACGUAGGUCACAAGCGUUGUCCGGAAUUACUGGGUGUAAAGGGAGCGCAGGCGGGUUUUCAAGUUGGGAGUGAAAUACAUGGGCUCAACCCAUGAACUGCUCUCAAAACUGGAGAUCUUGAGUAGUGCAGAGGUAGGCGGAAUUCCCGGUGUAGCGGUGGAAUGCGUAGAGAUCGGGAGGAACACCAGUGGCGAAGGCGGCCUACUGGGCACCAACUGACGCUGAGGCUCGAAAGUGUGGGUAGCAAACAGG